UACGGAGGGUGCGAGCGUUGUCCGGAAUCAUUGGGCGUAAAGGGCGCGUAGGUGGCCCCUCAAGCGUGCGGUGAAAGUCAGGGGCUCAACCCCUGAUCGGCCGUGCGAACUGGGGAGCUUGAGCACUGUAGAGGCAGGCGGAAUUCCGGGUGUAGCGGUGGAAUGCGUAGAGAUCCGGAAGAACACCGGUGGCGAAGGCGGGUCUCUGGGCGAGUAACUGACGCUGAGAAGCGAAAGCGUGGGGAGCGAACAGG
Molecule: ribosomal RNA, 254 nt
Filed under: uncultured bacterium
Lineage: Bacteria
Description: partial 16S ribosomal RNA
Rfam family: Bacterial small subunit ribosomal RNA
Source: RNAcentral